Molecule: ribosomal RNA, 449 nt
Filed under: uncultured bacterium
Lineage: Bacteria
Description: partial 16S ribosomal RNA
Rfam family: Bacterial small subunit ribosomal RNA
Source: RNAcentral
AAUGAACGCUGGCGGCAGGCCUAACACAUGCAAGUCGAACGGAUCCUUCGGGAUUAGUGGCGGACGGGUGAGUAACGCGUGGGAACAUACCCAAAGGUACGGAAAAGCCUCGGGAAACUGGGAGUAAUACCGUAUGUGCUCGAAAGAGGAAAGAUUUAUCGCCUUUGGAUUGGCCCGCGUUGGAUUAGGUAGUUGGUGGGGUAAUGGCCUACCAAGCCGACGAUCCAUAGCUGGUUUGAGAGGAUGAUCAGCCACACUGGGACUGAGACACGGCCCAGACUCCUACGGGAGGCAGCAGUGGGGAAUCUUAGACAAUGGGGGAAACCCUGAUCUAGCCAUGCCGCGUGAUCGAUGAAGGCCUUAGGGUUGCAAAGAUCUUUCAGGUGGGAAGAUAAUGACUGUACCACCAGAAGAAGCCCCGGCUAACUCCGUGCCAGCAGCCGCCGUAA